UGAGCAAUCUGCCCUUCUCAUCGGAAUAGGCGUUGGAAACGACGUCUAAUGCCGAAUACGACCUCCUUUCGCAUGAUCGGAGGUGGAAAGCUCCGGCGGAGAAGGAUGAGCUCGCGGCCUAUCAGCUAGUUGGUGUGGGUAAUGGCCCACCAAGGCGACGACGGGUAGCCGGCCUGGAGGAGGGUGACCGGCCAUACGUGGGACUGAGACACCGGCCCAGACCUCCGUACGGGAGCAG
Molecule: ribosomal RNA, 238 nt
Filed under: uncultured bacterium
Lineage: Bacteria
Description: partial 16S ribosomal RNA
Rfam family: Bacterial small subunit ribosomal RNA
Source: RNAcentral